This is a long non-coding RNA of Panicum hallii, 1752 nucleotides long. RefSeq lists it as uncharacterized. The record is from RefSeq and is a predicted model, not a curated record. The transcript has 3 exons. Lineage: Eukaryota; Viridiplantae; Streptophyta; Magnoliopsida; Poales; Poaceae.
CAUGGAGAGUGGAGAGGAAAGUGAAACAUACACGUGGUUGGUUCAAACCUGAAGCCGAACUACUGGUAUAUACUUGGUUCAUGUCUGCGCUCCAUUUUCCAUGCCAGGUGGUGACCUGACAUACGUGGAUUAUGGAACCUAUACAGAACCCCUGGAAAAAGUGAUCUUGCUCGAUAAAGCCACUGGUAUUAGCUGUCUUGUGGCAUCCUUUGUUUAGUUUCAAAAUUUGUGAUAUUUAUAACUGUGUUAUGUUAGAGAUAUUUGAUCCGCACUUUGUCACUCUUGAUCUGACAUGUGGCAAGUCUUUGAGAAAAUUCCUUAUUUAACACUGGUAAAAAUAAGUAAUUCCUUUCUUGACCUUCAAAAUUUCAGUCUCCCCUAUUUGACAUUAGAUGUAACUUUUGUUCCCUAUAUGACAUUCCGUUACCUUUUCCAUCAAAUGCCUGUGUCAGAUGGUGUAAAUGGAUCAGCACUUUGUGCUGCAUACUCACCGUUGCCUCAUCAGGACCAGAAAGGCUUCCUUUCUUGACUAAAAUAGCGGGCACAGGCAAAAAAACGAGCUUUCAACCCAGCUGAUCAGGAGCUGGAGAUUACCGAUGCUUUCAUUUCCUACUGCACUUUGUAUUGCUUACCACAAGUCAAUGAUCGGCUUAUAGUGGGCUUUAUAGGAAAUGGGUUCAUGGAGAAUGGAGAGGAAAGUAAAACAAAGUGGCUGGUUCGACCCAAACUACACGUACACAUUUGAUUCAUGUACAUGUCUUACUUUCAUGUAUAUUUGAAUCAGGUUUUUGUGGAGAACAUUGUUAGGAAUCUUGACCGGUCUAUAAAAGUGUGCACAUGUCAAGUUUACAUAACAAGAUCGAUGGCAUUUGUCUGAUGAAGAUGUGGCUUUGAUAAAUCUAGUGCUAUUAAUGGAACAGAAGAUUAACAUAAACUGAAAGUUGCUUCUGUUGUGUACUCACCAUCACGUGCUUGCUUAAUUAUGUUCAUAAAUCAGAAUCAAACUGUAUUUACUGACACUAGGGGAAAGAAAUGCAGAAAUGCUUUAACAUUUUCAUUUCUGCUAAUGCACUAAAUACCAUUUCAAUUUUUGAAUGACCUACUAUACUGCUGAUUAAGUUGACAAAAGAAUACUGUUAUUCUGAGCCUUUCAGCAUAAGACUUCUUUUCAGUUGUGGCUCCACAUUGGCGGUGUGCUUUUUCACUUGUGGGCACAACCUUGUGUUUUAGUAGAAUCAUUCAGGAUCUUAAACAAACUUACAAAAACAUUGCGUUGCCAGAUUCAUGGUUCAAGAACAUGGUGGCCAAGGUGAUGGGUUCGGACUUGUAAAUGAUGUGGAAUGGGACUAGUCUGAUGUGUAAAAUUAGUUGCUUUCUGCUAAUCUUGACUUAAUUCCAGCAUAGCAUAAUCGUGCUUUGUUCCAGAUUUCAACUCCAUUUUCCAUGCCAGGUAUUGACCUGGCAUACGUGGACCUUAUGCAGAACUCUGUCAGAAAGGUGAUCCUGCUCGAUAAAGACAUUGGUAUGAGAUGUCUUGCGAUAUCCCUAUUUUAGUUGUAAUAUUCAUGAGUGGUUUAUAAUGAAUAUUAUCUUAAGAGUAUUGUAUCUACACUUGUCAUUUUUGGUCUAACAUGUGGCAAGUCAAGCUAAGUUAUCUUUGCAUUCUAUUAAUCCAUAUCAAAUGAAUUGUGAUGUGUUGGGCAAGAUGUCUAGGCGAUUAGUAAUCAUUUGUCUACUACUGAUGACAGUAUA